Molecule: small nucleolar RNA, 136 nt
Organism: Chlorocebus sabaeus (green monkey)
Lineage: Eukaryota; Metazoa; Chordata; Mammalia; Primates; Cercopithecidae
Gene: SNORA70
Rfam family: Small nucleolar RNA SNORA70
About the family: snoRNA U70 seems to be exclusive to mammals and is a member of the H/ACA class of snoRNA which contain H (ANANNA) and ACA box motifs.
Source: Ensembl
CUGCAGCCAAUUAAGCCAACUGAGUUCCCUUCCUUAUGGGGGCCCCAGUGUGCAGUCGCUGCAAACAGCAGCUUCGUUGGUAGUGUAUGCAGCCUGUUUGUUGUAUGGGUUGCUCUAAGGGACCUUGGAGACAGGC